AGCUGAUAAUUGAUUUGAUUUAGACAUAUAAUUUCAUACUCAUUCGGACACUUUACAAACCUGAUUCACUGUAUUCGUGGAUAUUAUCAUAAACACGUUAUCUUUUAUAUUUGUAUAUAAAGAUGAUCAGAAAACAUAAUUACAUAAUGGUACGGUCUUAAGUUUCCUCUCUCUCUAUAUCUCGUACUCGUCAAAGAGUUGAACAGAGAGAGAGAGAGAGAUAAAGAAAAUGGAGGAGACGCGGAAGAAAGAAGACGAGAGGGGGAGAGAUACGGCGGAGGCGAAAGAAAUGACGACGCAGAUGUCAGUCCCCGGAGGGGACGAUAACGACGACGAGUAUACUCCUGAAGAAAUCAUGCAGCUCGUCGAGUCCUCUUCUUCUCAGACGAUGAACGUCGACGAGGAGAGUUUCAGAGUGAGGUUUAUCGACGAUCCGUACGCAGUUCCGGUCGUUGUUCAGUCAUCAACGUCAACGAGGAAAGCUGUGGUCCGUCGUUUUCCGACAGCAACGCUUCCGCCAUGGCGAGCGUCGACGCGAGCGAUCUUUUCGGUUGCUGCCUCGGUUCGAACGGCGCGUGGAGUACUGGCGAGGUGAGAGCGAGUGAGAGUGAGUGCGAGUGGGACGACGAGUUGCUGGCGAGGUUUCUUGGCGAAGACAGUGUUUGACCAAUGUGUCGGCUUGCGGAGAAACGCUUUUAAGGGUAUUUUGGUCAAUUCAAAGAACUGUCAUUAAGUGAAAAUUGAUUUACAUGUUGUUAAUUGGUAGGCAGCAAGAAAGUGGUAAAUCAGUUAAUGGUAGUAGUAAGAGUAAGACUAGUCUAGUUAGCAUCUACGUAGUUUAAUGUGACCAUUUUGGUAAAUUAUGUCACAUGGUGGUACUAAUGAGUAAUACCUUUAGGUCUAGGGAGCUAUUUUGUAAAGUUCAAAAGUAUUUAAUUGGAAAAAAUAAAUUGCCGGUA
Molecule: RNA transcript, 959 nt
Organism: Brassica napus (rape)
Lineage: Eukaryota; Viridiplantae; Streptophyta; Magnoliopsida; Brassicales; Brassicaceae
Exons: 1
Source: RefSeq, a predicted model, not a curated record